UUGAACGCUGGCGGCAGGCCUAACACAUGCAAGUCGAGCGGAUGAUGGGAGCUUGCUCCCGGAUUCAGCGGCGGACGGGUGAGUAAUGCCUAGGAAUCUGCCUGGUAGUGGGGGACAACGUUUCGAAAGGAACGCUAAUACCGCAUACGUCCUACGGGAGAAAGUGGGGGACCUUCGGGCCUCACGCUAUCAGAUGAGCCUAGGCCGGAUUAGCUAGUUGGUGAGGUAAAGGCUCACCAAGGCGACGAUCCGUAACUGGUCUGAGAGGAUGAUCAGUCACACUGGAACUGAGACACGGUCCAGACUCCUACGGGAGGCAGCAGUGGGGAAUAUUGGACAAUGGGCGAAAGCCUGAUCCAGCCAUGCCGCGUGUGUGAAGAAGGUCUUCGGAUUGUAAAGCACUUUAAGUUGGGAGGAAGGGCAGUAAGCGAAUACCUUGCUGUUUUGACGUUACCGACAGAAUAAGCACCGGCUAACUCU
Molecule: ribosomal RNA, 480 nt
Filed under: Pseudomonas sp. 'ARUP UnID 549'
Lineage: Bacteria; Pseudomonadati; Pseudomonadota; Gammaproteobacteria; Pseudomonadales; Pseudomonadaceae
Description: bacterial SSU rRNA
Rfam family: Bacterial small subunit ribosomal RNA
Source: RNAcentral